Long non-coding RNA from Etheostoma spectabile (orangethroat darter), 371 nucleotides. RefSeq lists it as uncharacterized. The transcript is spliced from 2 exons. NCBI's taxonomy places the organism in Eukaryota, Metazoa, Chordata, Actinopteri, Perciformes, Percidae. The record is from RefSeq and is a predicted model, not a curated record.
GUCUCUGACUCAGAGAACCACAGUUACAUCAGUGACUCUGUCUCUGACUCAGAGAACCACAGUUGCAUCAAAGACUCUGUCUCCGACUCAGAGAACCCACAGUUACAUCAGUGACUCUGUCUCCAACUCAGAGAACCACAGUUACAUCAGUGACUCUGACUCAGAGAACCACAGUUACAUCAGUGACUCUGUCUCCAACUCAGAGAACCACAGUUACAUCAGUGACUCUGUCUCCAAUCAGAGAACACAGUUACAUCAGUGACUCUGUCUCAACUCAGAGAACCACAGUUACAUCAGUGACUCUGUCUCCGACUCAGAGAACCACAGUUACAUCAGUGACUCUGUCUCCAACUCAGAGAACCACAGUUACA